Molecule: ribosomal RNA, 305 nt
Filed under: uncultured bacterium
Lineage: Bacteria
Description: bacterial SSU rRNA
Rfam family: Bacterial small subunit ribosomal RNA
Source: RNAcentral
CCUACGGGGGGCAGCAGUGAGGAAUAUUGGUCAAUGGACGAGAGUCUGAACCAGCCAAGUAGCGUGAAGGAUGACUGCCCUAUGGGUUGUAAACUUCUUUUAUAAAGGAAUAAAACGAGGCACGUGUGCCUUUUUGCAUGUACUUUAUGAAUAAGGAUCGGCUAACUCCGUGCCAGCAGCCGCGGUAAUACGGAGGAUGCGAGCGUUAUCCGGAUUUAUUGGGUUUAAAGGGUGCGUAGGCGGACUGGAAAGUCAGCGGUAAAAUCGAGAGGCUCAACCUCUUUCCGCCGUUGAAACUGUCGGUC